RNAcentral lists this ribosomal RNA (467 nucleotides) under uncultured bacterium. RNAcentral describes it as "partial 16S ribosomal RNA". It matches the Rfam family "Bacterial small subunit ribosomal RNA", at positions 28 to 506 of the family's 1533-position model. The record is from RNAcentral.
GACGAACGCUGGCGGCGUGCUUAACACAUGCAAGUCGAACGGAAAGGCCCUGCUUUUGUGGGGUGCUCGAGUGGCGAACGGGUGAGUAACACGUGAGUAACCUGCCCUUGACUUUGGGAUAACUUCAGGAAACUGGGGCUAAUACCGGAUAGGAGCUCCUGCUGCAUGGUGGGGGUUGGAAAGUUUCGGCGGUUGGGGAUGGACUCGCGGCUUAUCAGCUUGUUGGUGGGGUAGUGGCUUACCAAGGCUUUGACGGGUAGCCGGCCUGAGAGGGUGACCGGCCACAGUGGGACUGAGAUACGGCCCAGACUCCUACGGGAGGCAGCAGUGGGGAAUAGUGCACAAUGGGCGGAAGCCUGAUGCAGCAACGCCGCGUGCGGGAUGACGGCCUUCGGGGUGUAAACCGCUUGCGCCUGUGACGAAGCGUGAGUGACGGUAAUGGGUAAAGAAGCACCGGCUAACUACGU